GACGAACGCUGGCGGCGUGCUUAACACAUGCAAGCCGAACGGAAAGGCCCUGCUUUUGUGGGGUGCUCGAGUGGCGAACGGGUGAGUAACACGUGAGUAACCUGCCCUUGACUUUGGGAUAACUUCAGGAAACUGGGGCUAAUACCGGAUAGGAGCUCCUGCUGCAUGGUGGGGGUUGGAAAGUUUCGGCGGUUGGGGAUGGACUCGCGGCUUAUCAGCUUGUUGGUGGGGUAGUGGCUUACCAAGGCUUUGACGGGUAGCCGGCCUGAGAGGGUGACCGGCCACAUUGGGACUGAGAUACGGCCCAGACUCCUACAGGAGGCAGCAGUGGGGAAUAUUGCACAAUGGGCGGAAGCCUGAUGCAGCAACGCCGCGUGCGGGAUGACGGCCUUCGGGUUGUAAACCGCUUUCGCCUGUGACGAAGCGUGAGUGACGGUAAUGGGUAAAGAAGCACCGGCUAACUACGUG
RNAcentral lists this ribosomal RNA (468 nucleotides) under uncultured bacterium. RNAcentral describes it as "partial 16S ribosomal RNA". It matches the Rfam family "Bacterial small subunit ribosomal RNA", at positions 28 to 507 of the family's 1533-position model. The record is from RNAcentral.